AUAACAAAGGUGCCUUUGCCAAUAUUAUGUUUCGCUUUGACAAGCCCUGAGAUUUCUGAGGGGAAUCCAUUAUAAAUGGGAUCAGGUCAUUCACUUAUGUUGUGUGUAAAUAUAAAGAUACAACCUU
Pteropus vampyrus (large flying fox) is the source of this 127-nucleotide non-coding RNA. Lineage: Eukaryota; Metazoa; Chordata; Mammalia; Chiroptera; Pteropodidae. The record is from Rfam.